GAAUGUGGGAUAAACAAUAUUAACUGUGAAGGAUAAAAAUUCUAUACGAAUGUCGCUCCUCUCAUUUCUCAGACCAGCUCCUUGAUAUUACAUUCCAGCUGAACGUAACCAAAGUGCAACAAACACGGCGAAACAUGAACUCUACGGGUAAAAAAAAGCCUACAAUCUGAAGUAAAAUCACUUUUCUGCAGGUCAUGUUGUAAACAUCUGCUUCCGCGUCUGUCCCCGACAGCUACGUUUCAGGCUGGCUGCCAUGGAAACAAACCCCGCCCACACGGCCUGGUGCCUCCUUUUAGCUGCUGUAAUGUAGAUUACCGUAAUAGCUCGUCUAUCAAUCUAAAACAAGGAUUCCAACUACUGAAAUACUUUCUAUAGUUCCAAGACUUACGGUAAUUUGAAAACAGCACUGUACAUCAUAUCGGCAGCUACAGUUUUAAUGUUAAAGGUCUAUAAAUAUUAUUUGGAAACGUCCGGCGUGCCAGGUGAAACAUCUAAUAAGAGUGGUAUGCGGGCCGUAAUUUGCCCUGGACUGCUCAAAUAGAUACUCAGCAGCAAACACAAAAUGUUCGCGGUUUCCAGAAGACUCGCGUUUAUGGAAUGGAAUUUAGUGUGGGGAGAGAGAGGGAAAAGGGAGUUUUCACUCUCCAAUACAGCAGGUGGCGGUAAUGCGCCUUUAACGGUGCGUGGUCCGCCAUUAGGCAAUAAGUAAUUUUGCACUUCGAUGUUAAAAAAAAGUAUGUUAAAAUACAUUGUCGGCCUGUCCACUUAAACACUAUUUUUUCAUCGUGCCUCAUCAAAAGUACGCGCCGAUGGUGAGGCUCGCCGCCCCCAGAGCAGCUAGGCCGAAGACUGUCUUGAUGGAGGGCCAGGAGCAGCUGAACACCGAUUCCCUCUGACGGUCGUAGAGUUCCACAAAGGCAUCCUGGAGGACAGAAAGACACGACAGAUGGUGACAAAGGCUGCAGGAUCCGGUUAUUAAUUAGAGAACAAGCUGCUCCAGUCAGACCUCCAGCUGAGGGGAACAUUUCGCUUGGCAAAACACACACCUCUUCCCCACUCAUACUUGGGCUCGGAAAAAGACAUGUCAGUGUGGCAUGAAGCCAUCAUGUGACCAUGAAAGCACACAGUCAUCUUGUCCCCAACGCGACCCCCAGACGUCUUCCCUUCGGAAACAAAAGACAGACAAUUACGCAGCUGUGACUUUCUUGGCUCCUCCAUAUAUCUUCCAUCAGAGACACUGGCGGUCACCUCAGCCCUCCGACUUUCAGGUUCAAGGUGGAAUAAUAAUCAGCUGACAUGGUGGGUGUUUGGAGCACAAUGACGCAAAUAACAACUUGACGCUUUGUGAAGAUGGGAAGCACCGCCUAAGACCCAAAAUGGACUGCCAGAGCAUCUUUGGUCUACACUGAGGGGUUACCCCGCCUCCCUCUUCCUGCUGCUGGAUUCCUCAGACAAGAAUGUUUGGAACAAGCCUCUUUGUGCUGGGAGCAUCUCAAGGGGACUUCACAUCUCCUCACUCCUUAAAAGCAACUCUUUAUGUCAGGCCUGUCCGCAGAGGUACGGCCCGCAGGAAAGAAAGGUUUUUUGUGGGUGUAAACAUGGCGCCAGUUGGCAAAAAGUGCAGACCUGCCUGAAAUUAUUGUCAUGAAGCCAAUAUGAAAAAAUAUAUAAUAUUAUGAUAGUAUUGAUGACUUGUGCCAAGGUGGUAAGAAACUUUGCAAAUAAAUCCUGAUGACAAUACAGGAAGACCUCAGUCUUCUUGAAUAAUCCGUUCCAAAAUGUCCAACAAAAACCGAAUCGUAUCUAAACCGAAGCAAUUUUCCCAACAAGAAAUAAUGUAGAUCUGUUCCCGACACACGAAUAUGAACACAAAACACGUUUCAUAAAAUAAUUACAGUUUCACAUGCAGAAAACAAUGUCAAAUGAAAUCCAUGUAAAUAAGAAAUUAAAUGUUUCGAACAUUUUGGUGACUGUACCUUGUGUGCAAAAGCGAAGCUAUAUUUGUUGACGUGCCGAGUUUACAACUAGACGUGUCACAUGCAACAACGGUAUCGAAA
Long non-coding RNA from Nerophis ophidion (straightnose pipefish), 2057 nucleotides. RefSeq lists it as uncharacterized. NCBI's taxonomy places the organism in Eukaryota, Metazoa, Chordata, Actinopteri, Syngnathiformes, Syngnathidae. The transcript has 6 exons. The record is from RefSeq and is a predicted model, not a curated record.